Molecule: regulatory RNA element, 77 nt
Organism: Syntrophomonas wolfei subsp. wolfei
Lineage: Bacteria; Bacillati; Bacillota; Clostridia; Eubacteriales; Syntrophomonadaceae
Source: Rfam
AUGUUUUUGUAACCGCACAGUUCGGGUUUUUAAAAGGCUCUAUAGCCUACCUGCAAUUGGCGAGUCUGAGGAAUAUG